AUGGAUGUAAUCAGAUUACACGUGUGUGUGUGUGUGUGUGUGUGUGUGUGUGUGUGUGUGUGUGUGUGUGUGUGUGUGUGUGUGUGUGUGUGUGUACAGCUCAGUGGUGAUGCUGUGAUCCACCGUGGCAUGUUUGUGACCCUAAGCUUCACCAACCCGUACCCCUUCCCUCUCCACAACAUCUUCCUGUUCAUGGAAGGUUCAGGGGUCAUCGACAUCAAGUCGUUCUUCUAUCGCACCAUAGACGUUGGUGCCACUGUCUCCUGGAAGGAGCACUUCCAGCCUCGCCUGGCGGGACUUCGUGGGAUUGUGGCGGUCAUGUACAGCAGCAACCUCUAUGUAACUUCCUGUUUGUUCCUCAGUGAUCUGAGCUGUGUGUGUGUGUGUGUGUGUGUGUGUGUGUGUGUGUGUGAAACACGUCUGACCAACUUGUGUGUGAUGUCACAGAUGCACGGCUACAUCGUCCUGAACGUCAGGGACUGAGGGGACCAGAGCUCCAACUCACCUCCCACCUUCCGCCGAUCGCACUGCUUCAGUUACUCAUUUUCUUACUUCUACAAGUUCAGGCAUUUUCUUCACCAAUCAAUGAAUCAAUGAAUCAAUGAAUCAAUCUGAUCUGAUCUGAAGACAGUUUAUCAGGGUUAUUUUGGACGAUUGGACAAAGAAACAAAACAGCUUCCUGUUCAAAAGUUUCAAAUUCUCUCUUUUCCAAAUACUGUGAUGAAUAAUGAUUUAUACUCUUACUAUUAAUUGAUUAAUGAAUGAUUAUUGAUUGAUCAGUAGGUUGACCAGAAAUCAGCCUUCACCCUUCACCCCUCCAUCCCUUCACCCCUCCAUCCCUCCAUCCCUUCAUCCCUUCACCCCUCCAUCCCUUCACCCCUCCAUCCCUUCAUCCCUCCAUCCCUUCAUCCCUUCACCCCUCCAUCCCUUCAUCCCUCCACCCCUUCAUCCCUUCACCCCUCCAUCCCUUCACCCCUCCAUCCCUUCACCCCUUCACCCUUCACCCUUCAUCCCUUCACCCCCUCCAUCCCUUCACCCCUCCAUCCUUCACCCCUCAUCCCUUCACCCUCUUCACCCUUCACCCCUUCAUCCCUUCACCCCUCAUCCCUUCACCUCUUCACCCCUUCACCCCUUCAUCCCUUCACCCCUUCACCCCUCAUCCCUUCAUCUCGAUAUCAAGCCUAAUCAGCUGACAUUUAUUCUGAAUUUUCACCAAUUAAAGCAUAUUCAAAAGCAGCGAUGGCGUCACGGCUUAUUACUUUUAAACUAAUGAAGGAACAACAAAACAUCUUCAUAUUUUAUCCCUCAACAACAACAACAAACAAAACACUACGUCAUCAGUCACCUGAUGAAUCGUGGCCGCCAGCGUCUUAACUUCAGCGGCUGUUACACACAAUGGCCGCCAGGUGGCGACGUGGAUCCUUUUCCACAGCAGAUCUGGGAUCAGAUUCUAUAAAAAAACUAAAGAGUGUUUAACAUUCAGAUCAGUCGGUGCUCUCCUGGAAGAGCUUCUGGAGGGUUGGUGCCCCCAUGGGUCCCUCCACCCAUACAGCACCACCCUGCCAUCAUUUAUCAUCCAGGACGUGUCUGUCCAGAUCACACACACACACACACACACACACACACACACACACACACACUCAUGUCGUCCACCUGUACCAGCGUCAGCAGCGUCCGAAGGGUCCGUCACAGCCGUCAGAACCCUGGAGACCAGCUCCUCUCCUGGUGGUGGGUCGGUGCUUCCUCCUGCUUCCUGUCAGGCCCACAGCUGCACCGACCGUGGUGAUGCUGCCUGCUGACGGGCUCAGGCUGCAGCAGCAACAACUGUUACCUACAAAUCACCCCCCCCCGACACACACACACACACACACACACACACACACACUCCACAAGUGAAGAGGAAGAUGGCCGAGGUGUCCGUGCAGCAUGUGCUCGUCACCCCCAACAGGUGCUGCUCCACGCGGCAGCGGGGGGGGGGGAGGGGGGGGAAGGGUGGGGGCGGGGGUGGGUAGGGUUUCAUCAACAUCUCUGAGUGCUGCUCAGCACAUCAGCGGGCUGGACACAGUGGC
RNAcentral lists this long non-coding RNA (2069 nucleotides) under Takifugu rubripes (torafugu). RNAcentral describes it as "lncRNA (ENSTRUG00000030642.1)". Lineage: Eukaryota; Metazoa; Chordata; Actinopteri; Tetraodontiformes; Tetraodontidae. The record is from RNAcentral.